GGAUUAGAUACCCUGGUAGUCCACGCUGUAAACGAUCGUUACUAGAUAUCAGCCCCACUGGGUUGGUGUCCAAGCGAAAGCGAUAAGUAACGCACCUGGGGAGUACGCUCGCAAGGGUGAAACUCAAAGGAAUUGACGGGGGCCCGCACAAGCGGUGGAGCAUGUGGUUUAAUUCGAUGAUACGCGAGGAACCUUACCUGGACUCGAAUGCGCGUGACCGUGCCAGAGAUGGCACUUCUCUUCGGAGCACAAAGCAAGGUGCUGCAUGGUUGUCGUCAGCUCGUGCCG
RNAcentral lists this ribosomal RNA (288 nucleotides) under uncultured bacterium. RNAcentral describes it as "partial 16S ribosomal RNA". It matches the Rfam family "Bacterial small subunit ribosomal RNA", at positions 775 to 1067 of the family's 1533-position model. The record is from RNAcentral.